This 220-nucleotide unclassified non-coding RNA is filed under the name plant metagenome. Its description in RNAcentral is "partial contains small subunit ribosomal RNA, internal transcribed spacer 1, and 5.8S ribosomal RNA". The record is from RNAcentral.
UUUCCGUAGGUGAACCUGCGGAAGGAUCAUUACAGAGUUCAUGCCCUCACGGGUAGAUCUCCCACCCUUGAAUAUUUAUACCUUAGUUGCUUUGGCAGGCCGUGGAAGCACCAUGGGCUCCGGCUUAUGCGUGCCUGCCAGAGGAAACAAACUCUGUUUUUAGUGAUGUCUGAGUACUAUAUAAUAGUUAAAACUUUCAACAACGGAUCUCUUGGUUCUG